CGAAGUCCUGACACCACAGAUUAACAAAGCCCAGCAAAAGUGGAAAGUCCAUGGAAAAAGCCAAAGACCUGCAUCAUUUUUACAGGCCACAGCAAAUGCUGAACCAUUUGAAAGCAAGCCUUUUUUAAUUUUUACCAUAAAAUUGACCCUUUGAAACCAAAGUUAAGAUCCGUUUUACAAUCCAUUCAGCCAACAGGAUGUGUAAAGCACAAGAAAAAAAGAGAAGUCAUUCUCUGAGGACCAUGCUACACAAUCUAGCAGUUGUGAAGAAUUUUAUGAUGCAAACUCUGAUGCAGGAAGAGACCGCACAGGCCAAGCCAUCGAACAGUACAGGAUAGGAUUUUGUGACACCAGGAACC
This is a long non-coding RNA of Rana temporaria (common frog), 359 nucleotides long. RefSeq lists it as uncharacterized. The transcript is spliced from 3 exons. NCBI's taxonomy places the organism in Eukaryota, Metazoa, Chordata, Amphibia, Anura, Ranidae. The record is from RefSeq and is a predicted model, not a curated record.